GGGGAUGUACUGGUUUUGACAGCAAUGAUUCCGGGUGGUAAGCACGCCGGGCUUCUGAGAGAUCUGCCCGUAAAAACCGUUCUCUUAACAAUUUAGUUGCCAACAACAACUACGCGCUCGCUGCCUAAUCGACCAAGUCGUUUAGCUUAAUCCCGGCCGCCAAGGCUGCGGCCCGGACGAGUAUCCCGCGGACUUUACGCCUUCUAUGUUCCGAGUUCGGGGUAUCAUUCAAGAGGGACGCUCCGGUGGACUCCUUUAAAGCCGGCUAAGAUUUAAAGGAUAAGCUGUGGCUGGCCCGCCUUCCGGCAGGCCGCGGCCGACAACCAAAGGAAGGAUAAGCGUGUAGAAAGCUGCUGGGUGCGUUGUUUGGACGGCGGUUCGACUCCGCCCAUCUCCACUG
RNAcentral lists this transfer-messenger RNA (400 nucleotides) under Bacteroidales. Its description in RNAcentral is "Cryptobacteroides sp017627955 Standard tmRNA". It matches the Rfam family "transfer-messenger RNA". Rfam says of the family: Bacterial tmRNA, also known as 10Sa RNA or SsrA, is named for its dual tRNA and mRNA-like properties. Its role is to liberate the mRNA from a stalled ribosome. The record is from RNAcentral. RNAcentral also lists the same sequence under 1 other name. Lineage: Bacteria; Pseudomonadati; Bacteroidota; Bacteroidia.